RNAcentral lists this ribosomal RNA (465 nucleotides) under uncultured bacterium. RNAcentral describes it as "bacterial SSU rRNA". It matches the Rfam family "Bacterial small subunit ribosomal RNA", at positions 917 to 1382 of the family's 1533-position model. The record is from RNAcentral.
GGGCCCGCACAAGCGGAGGAACAUGUGGUUUAAUUCGAUGAUACGCGAGGAACCUUACCUGGGCUCGAACGCAGCGUGCUGGUGCCAGAAAUGGUACCUUCCGCAAGGACGCGUUGCGAGGUGCUGCAUGGUUGUCGUCAGCUCGUGCCGUGAGGUGUCGGAUUAAGUUCCAUAACGAGCGCAACCCUUAUCGUUAGUUGCCAGCGGGUUAAGCCGGGGACUCUAACGAAACUGCCAGCGUAAGCUGUGAGGAAGGUGGGGAUGACGUCAAAUCAGCACGGCCCUUACGUCCAGGGCUACACACGUGUUACAAUGGCCGGUACAGAGGGCAGCUACCCCGUGAGGGGAUGCGAAUCUCCAAAGCCGGUCACAGUUCGGAUCGAAGUCUGCAACUCGACUUCGUGAAGUUGGAUUCGCUAGUAAUCGCGCAUCAGCAAUGGCGCGGUGAAUACGUUCCCGGGCCUU